RNAcentral lists this ribosomal RNA (468 nucleotides) under uncultured bacterium. Its description in RNAcentral is "bacterial SSU rRNA". It matches the Rfam family "Bacterial small subunit ribosomal RNA", at positions 28 to 524 of the family's 1533-position model. The record is from RNAcentral.
GACGAACGCUGGCGGCGUGCUUAACACAUGCAAGUCGAACGCUCGACCUUCGGGUCGGGAGUGGCAGACGGGUGAGUAACGCGUGGGAACGUACCCUUCGGUUCGGAAUAACCCAGGGAAACUUGGGCUAAUACCGGAUACGUCCUGGCCUGGAGACAGGGUGGGAGAAAGGUUUACUGCCGAAGGAUCGGCCCGCGUCGGAUUAGCUAGUUGGUGGGGUAACGGCCCACCAAGGCGACGAUCCGUAGCUGGUCUGAGAGGAUGAUCAGCCACACUGGGACUGAGACACGGCCCAGACUCCUACGGGAGGCAGCAGUGGGGAAUAUUGGACAAUGGGCGAAAGCCUGAUCCAGCCAUGCCGCGUGAGUGAAGAAGGCCUUAGGGUUGUAAAGCUCUUUCAGCGGGGACGAUAAUGACGGUACCCGCAGAAGAAGUCCCGGCUAACUUCGUGCCAGCCGCCGCCGUAAU